UAGGAACAUCUCACAGUACUU
RNAcentral lists this small nuclear RNA (21 nucleotides) under Arabidopsis thaliana (thale cress). RNAcentral's name for it is "snRNA_09604". The record is from RNAcentral. Lineage: Eukaryota; Viridiplantae; Streptophyta; Magnoliopsida; Brassicales; Brassicaceae.